UGGGGAAUAUUGCACAAUGGGCGCAAGCCUGAUGCAGCCAUGCCGCGUGUAUGAAGAAGGCCUUCGGGUUGUAAAGUACUUUCAGCGAGGAGGAAGGCGGUAAGGUUAAUAACCUUAUCGAUUGACGUUACUCGCAGAAGAAGCACCGGCUAACUCCGUGCCAGCAGCCGCGGUAAUACGGAGGGUGCAAGCGUUAAUCGGAAUUACUGGGCGUAAAGCGCACGCAGGCGGUCUGUCAAGUCGGAUGUGAAGUCCCCGGGCUCAACCUGGGAACUGCAUUCGAAACUGGCAGGCUAGAGUCUUGUAGAGGGGGGUAGAAUUCCAGGUGUAGCGGUGAAAUGCGUAGAGAUCUGGAGGAAUACCGGUGGCGAAGGCGGCCCCCUGGACAAAGACUGACGCUCAGGUGCGAAAGCGUGGGGAGCAAACA
Molecule: ribosomal RNA, 427 nt
Filed under: uncultured bacterium
Lineage: Bacteria
Description: partial 16S ribosomal RNA
Rfam family: Bacterial small subunit ribosomal RNA
Source: RNAcentral